This 256-nucleotide ribosomal RNA is filed under the name uncultured bacterium. RNAcentral describes it as "partial 16S ribosomal RNA". It matches the Rfam family "Bacterial small subunit ribosomal RNA", at positions 524 to 776 of the family's 1533-position model. The record is from RNAcentral.
UACGUAGGGCGCAAGCGUUUGUCCGGAAUUAUUGGGCGUAAAGAGCUCGUAGGCGGUUUGUCGCGUCUGCUGUGAAAACUCGAGGCUCAACCUCGGGCUUGCAGUGGGUACGGGCAGACUAGAGUGCGGUAGGGGGUGACUGGAAUUCCUGGUGUAGUGGUGAAAUGCGUAGAUAUCGGGAGGAACACCAGUGGCGAAGGCGACUAUCUGGGCUGCAACUGACGCUGAGGCGCCGAAGGCUAGGGUAGCAAACAGG